This 484-nucleotide ribosomal RNA is filed under the name uncultured bacterium. RNAcentral describes it as "partial 16S ribosomal RNA". It matches the Rfam family "Bacterial small subunit ribosomal RNA", at positions 30 to 507 of the family's 1533-position model. The record is from RNAcentral.
AUUGAACGCUGGCGGAAUGCUUUACACAUGCAAGUCGAACGGCAGCACGGGGGCAACCCUGGUGGCGAGUGGCGAACGGGUGAGUAAUACAUCGGAACGUGCCCGGUCGUGGGGGAUAACGUAGCGAAAGUUACGCUAAUACCGCAUACGAUCUGAGGAUGAAAGCGGGGGACCUUCGGGCCUCGCGCGCUCGGAGCGGCCGAUGUCAGAUUAGGUAGUUGGUGGGGUAAAGGACUACCAAGCCGACGAUCUGUAGCUGGUCUGAGAGGACGACCAGCCACACUGGGACUGAGACACGGCCCAGACUCCUACGGGAGGCAGCAGUGGGGAAUUUUGGACAAUGGGCGCAAGCCUGAUCCAGCCAUACCGCGUGGAGGACGAAGGCCUUCGGGUUGUAAACUGCUUUUGUAUGGAACGAAAAGGCUCUGGCUAAUACCUGGGGCUCAUGACGGUACCGUAAGAAUAAGCACCGGCUAACUACGUG